GAUGAACGCUGGCGGCGUGCCUAAUACAUGCAAGUCGAGCGAAGCGGGGACGGGUGAGUAACACGUGGAUAACCUCCUAUAAGACUGGGAUAACUUCGGGAAACCGGAGCUAAACCGGACCAUUAUAGCUGGAUCCGCGCUGCAUGAGCUAGUUGGUAAGGUAACGGCUUACCAAGGCAACGAUGCAUACCCGACCUGAGAGGGUGAGCGGCCAAACGGGAACUGAGAAACGGUCCAGACUCCUACGGGAGGCAGCAGUAGGGAAUCGUGCGCAAUGGGCGAAAGCCUGACGGAGCAACGCCGCGUGAGUGAUGAGGGGCUGAGGAUCGUAAAACGCUGUUAUUAGGGAAGCGGUACCUAAUCAGAAAGCCACGGCUAACUACGUGCCAGCAGCCGCGGUAAUUC
RNAcentral lists this ribosomal RNA (405 nucleotides) under uncultured bacterium. RNAcentral's name for it is "partial 16S ribosomal RNA". It matches the Rfam family "Bacterial small subunit ribosomal RNA", at positions 28 to 526 of the family's 1533-position model. The record is from RNAcentral.